CUUUUUCCUCUCACCCUCGAUCGUCCCAAAGCUCUCAACGCCUUGAACCUAGAAAUGGAUGUGAAGUAUAAGAGUUAUCUGGAUGAAUGGGAAUCGGACCCGAGGGUUAAAUGUGUCUUGGUCGAUAGCAGCUCGCCUCGUGCCUUUUGUGCUGGUAUGGAUAUUAAAGGGGUUGUUGCUGAAAUACAAAAGGACAAAAACACUCCUUUAGUGCAGAAGGUCUUCUUACCGUUAUUUGCUUCACCUUCAAGUCUAGUAUAUUAAUGCAUAUUUAUAUGGCUGCUGUUGUGAUGUGCUUCAGUGGAUAUAUUGUUUACUUCCAUGUUACAUCAACAUCAUGCCAUCUUCUGAUGCUAUACUAUUGUUUCCAUUUCCUGUUUUUGUCAAAUAACAAUUUGUUUAUCGAUUCUCAAUGCUGCUUUCUUGGCAACUGAGAUAGUUUAUCUGCAAGUGGUGAUGUGAAGCAGAUAACAUUUAAAAAGCAUCAGUCAGAUAUUAUUGAAGUCUAGUUGUAUAUUAUAAUGUAUAUCAUCAGAUUCUUAUAAUGUAUAAAGCCAUGCCAAUAAUACGAACUGAAUACCUCUACUAAAUAAUGUUUUAA
Arachis duranensis is the source of this 601-nucleotide long non-coding RNA. RefSeq lists it as uncharacterized. The transcript has 3 exons. Lineage: Eukaryota; Viridiplantae; Streptophyta; Magnoliopsida; Fabales; Fabaceae. The record is from RefSeq and is a predicted model, not a curated record.